Molecule: ribosomal RNA, 633 nt
Filed under: uncultured bacterium
Lineage: Bacteria
Description: bacterial SSU rRNA
Rfam family: Bacterial small subunit ribosomal RNA (bases 1-543)
Source: RNAcentral
CCUACGGGAGGCAGCAGUGGGGAAUUUUGGACAAUGGGCGAAAGCCUGAUCCAGCAAUGCCGCGUGAGUGAAGAAGGCCUUCGGGUUGUAAAGCUCUUUUGUCAGGGAAGAAACGGUGAGGGCUAAUAUCCCUUGCUAAUGACGGUACCUGAAGAAUAAGCACCGGCUAACUACGUGCCAGCAGCCGCGGUAAUACGUAGGGUGCAAGCGUUAAUCGGAAUUACUGGGCGUAAAGCGUGCGCAGGCGGUUUUGUAAGUCUGUCGUGAAAUCCCCGGGCUCAACCUGGGAAUUGCGAUGGAGACUGCAAGGCUAGAAUCUGGCAGAGGGGGGUAGAAUUCCACGUGUAGCAGUGAAAUGCGUAGAGAUGUGGAGGAACACCGAUGGCGAAGGCAGCCCCCUGGGUCAAGAUUGACGCUCAUGCACGAAAGCGUGGGGAGCAAACAGGAUUAGAUACCCUGGUAGUCCACGCCCUAAACGAUGUACUACUAGUUGUCGGGUUUUAAUUAACUUGGUAACGCAGCUAACGCGUGAAGUAGACCGCGUGGGGAGUACGGUCGNGAAGUAUUAAACCGUUNAAAGUGUUAAGUUAGUAGGCGUUGAGACGUUGCGACGGACGACGACGAGGGAGGAGG